AUUGAACGCUGGCGGCAUGCCUUACACAUGCAAGUCGAACGGCAGCACGGAGCUUGCUCUGGUGGCGAGUGGCGAACGGGUGAGUAAUAUAUCGGAACGUACCCUAGAGUGGGGGAUAACGUAGCGAAAGUUACGCUAAUACCGCAUACGAUCUAAGGAUGAAAGUGGGGGAUCGCAAGACCUCAUGCUCGUGGAGCGGCCGAUAUCUGAUUAGCUAGUUGGUAGGGUAAAAGCCUACCAAGGCAUCGAUCAGUAGCUGGUCUGAGAGGACGACCAGCCACACUGGAACUGAGACACGGUCCAGACCCCUACGGGAGGCAGCAGUGGGGAAUUUUGGACAAUGGGCGAAAGCCUGAUCCAGCAAUGCCGCGUGAGUGAAGAAGGCCUUCGGGUUGUAAAGCUCUUUUGUCAGGGAAGAAACGGUGGGAGCUAAUAUCUCUUGCUAAUGACGGUACCUGAAGAAUAAGCACCGGCUAACUACGUGCCAGCAGCCGCGGUAAUACGUAGGGUGCAAGCGUUAAUCGGAAUUACUGGGCGUAAAGCGUGCGCAGGCGGUUUUGUAAGUCCGAUGUGAAGUCCCCGGGCUCAACCUGGGAACUGCAUUGGAGACUGCAAGGCUAGAAUCUGGCAGAGGGGGGUAGAAUUCCACGUGUAGCAGUGAAAUGCGUAGAUAUGUGGAGGAACACCGAUGGCGAAGGCAGCCCCCUGGGUCAAGAUUGACGCUCAUGCACGAAAGCGUGGGGAGCAAACAGGAUUAGAUACCCUGGUAGUCCACGCCCUAAACGAUGUCUACUAGUUGUCGGGUCUUAAUUGACUUGGUAACGCAGCUAACGCGUGAAGUAGACCGCCUGGGGAGUACGGUCGCAAGAUUAAAACUCAAGGGAAUUGACGGGGACCCGCACAAGCGGUGGAUGAUGUGGAUUAAUUCGAUGCAACGCGAAAAACCUUACCUACCCUUGACAUGGCUGGAAUCCUUGAGAGAUCAGGGAGUGCUCGAAAGAGAACCAGUACACAGGUGCUGCAUGGCUGUCGUCAGCUCGUGUCGUGAGAUGUUGGGUUAAGUCCCGCAACGAGCGCAACCCUUGUCAUUAGUUGCUACGAAAGGGCACUCUAAUGAGACUGCCGGUGACAAACCGGAGGAAGGUGGGGAUGACGUCAAGUCCUCAUGGCCCUUAUGGGUAGGGCUUCACACGUCAUACAAUGGUACAUACAGAGCGCCGCCAACCCGCGAGGGGGAGCUAAUCGCAGAAAGUGUAUCGUAGUCCGGAUUGUAGUCUGCAACUCGACUGCAUGAAGUUGGAAUCGCUAGUAAUCGCGGAUCAGCAUGUCGCGGUGAAUACGUUCCCGGGUCU
This 1352-nucleotide ribosomal RNA is filed under the name uncultured bacterium. RNAcentral describes it as "bacterial SSU rRNA". It matches the Rfam family "Bacterial small subunit ribosomal RNA", at positions 28 to 1381 of the family's 1533-position model. The record is from RNAcentral.